UGGGGUGACUGCGUACCUUUUGUAUAAUGGGUCAGCGACUUAUAUUCUGUAGCAAGGUUAACCGUAUAGGGGAGCCGCAGGGAAACCGAGUCUUAACUGGGCGUUAAGUUGCAGGGUAUAGACCCGAAACCCGGUGAUCUAGCCAUGGGCAGGUUGAAGGUUGGGUAACACUAACUGGAGGACCGAACCGACUAAUGUUGAAAAAUUAGCGGAUGACCUGUGGCUGGGGGUGAAAGGCCAAUCAAACCGGGAGAUAGCUGGUUCUCCCCGAAAGCUAUUUAGGUAGCGCCUCGUGAACUCAUCUUCGGGGGUAGAGCACUGUUUCGGCUAGGGGGUCAUCCCGACUUACCAACCCGAUGCAAACUACGAAUACCGAAGAAUGUUAUCACGGGAGACACACGGCGGGUGCUAACGUCCGUCGUGAAGAGGGAAACAACCCAGACCGCCAGCUAAGGUCCCAAAGUCAUGGUUAAGUGGGAAACGAUGUGGGAAGGCACAGACAGCCAGGAUGUUGGCUUAGAAGCAGCCAUCAUUUAAAGAAAGCGUAAUAGCUCACUGGUCGAGUCGGCCUGCGCGGAAGAUGUAACGGGGCUAAACCAUGCACCGAAGCUGCGGCAGCGAC
RNAcentral lists this ribosomal RNA (622 nucleotides) under Raoultella sp. T31. RNAcentral's name for it is "bacterial LSU rRNA". It matches the Rfam family "Bacterial large subunit ribosomal RNA", at positions 589 to 1212 of the family's 2925-position model. Lineage: Bacteria; Pseudomonadati; Pseudomonadota; Gammaproteobacteria; Enterobacterales; Enterobacteriaceae. The record is from RNAcentral.